RNAcentral lists this ribosomal RNA (497 nucleotides) under uncultured bacterium. RNAcentral describes it as "partial 16S ribosomal RNA". It matches the Rfam family "Bacterial small subunit ribosomal RNA", at positions 28 to 507 of the family's 1533-position model. The record is from RNAcentral.
GAUGAACGCUGGCGGCGUGCCUAAUACAUGCAAGUCGAGCGAACGGACGAGUAGCUUGCUUCUCUGAUGUUAGCGGCGGACGGGUGAGUAACACGUGGAUAACCUACCUAUAAGACUGGGAUAACUUCGGGAAACCGGAGCUAAUACCGGAUAAUAUUUUGAACCGCAUGGUUCAAAAGUGAAAGACGGUCUUGCUGUCACUUAUAGAUGGAUCCGCGCUGCAUUAGCUAGUUGGUAAGGUAACGGCUUACCAAGGCAACGAUGCAUAGCCGACCUGAGAGGGUAAUCGGCCACACUGGAACUGAGACACGGUCCAGACUCCUACGGGAGGCAGCAGUAGGGAAUCUUCCGCAAAGGGCGAAAGCCUGACGGAGCAACGCCGCGUGAGUGAUGAAGGUCUUCGGAUCGUAAAACUCUGUUAUUAGGGAAGAACAUAUGUGUAAGUAACUGUGCACAUCUUGACGGUACCUAAUCAGAAAGCCACGGCUAACUACGUG